UUGUUUCCACAGAUAAUAUAUAUAUAUCCUCUUCGAUCGAUCUUGAUAUGAUUGAUCCAUACUAUAUCUCAUUAUCCAUUCAUAGAUGAGGAAGAAUUAAUCCCUUUCCUAAUCGAUCUCCCUCUAGCUCCAUUCUCCAUAUAUACUAUCCAUUCUUCUGGUAGUGUAUGCACCAUAUAUAUGCAUCGAUCUCACAAAUUGGCACAAAUUGGCGAGGAUGAGAGGCAUGGAUCGAUGCAUAUAUGGAGCUAGUAGCAAACAGUCGGUGCUUGCAGGUGCAGCACCAUCAAGAUUCACAUCGAGUUCAUCCCUAAACGAGAUCGAGGUUGGCUGACUAUAUGUGAUGAGAAUCUUGAUGAUGCUGCAUCAGCAAACGCUCGACUACUCGUCUCGAUCCAUGGCCUGCUUUGAUUAUUGGAGACUAGAAAUUAAUCUUCAGGUACAGUUCCUAUAGCUAGCUUUCCCCUUCCUAUAUAUUUGAGCUUGGCUAAUUGUUUCAGCUUAAACUCCUUUCUUCUAAGCACAUUUUCUUUUCUUUCUUCUUCAAAUAUAUAUAUGUGGAAUCCUCAAUUAGCACUACUCCUUUACGGAGUAUUUAAGAA
RNAcentral lists this precursor RNA (602 nucleotides) under Oryza sativa Japonica Group (Japanese rice). RNAcentral describes it as "putative precursor microRNA R172d". The stretch from base 266 to 377 matches the Rfam family "mir-172 microRNA precursor family". The record is from RNAcentral. Lineage: Eukaryota; Viridiplantae; Streptophyta; Magnoliopsida; Poales; Poaceae.